GAUGAACGCUGGCGGCGUGCCUAAUACAUGCAAGUCGAGCGAACAGACGAGGAGCUUGCUCCUCUGACGUUAGCGGCGGACGGGUGAGUAACACGUGGAUAACCUACCUAUAAGACUGGGAUAACUUCGGGAAACCGGAGCUAAUACCGGAUAAUAUAUUGAACCGCAUGGUUCAAUAGUGAAAGACGGUUUUGCUGUCACUUAUAGAUGGAUCCGCGCCGCAUUAGCUAGUUGGUAAGGUAACGGCUUACCAAGGCAACGAUGCGUAGCCGACCUGAGAGGGUGUUCAGCCACACUGGAACUGAGACACGGUCCAGACUCCUACGGGAGGCAGCAGUAGGGAAUCUUCCGCAAUGGGCGAAAGCCUGACGGAGCAACGCCGCGUGAGUGAUGAAGGUCUUCGGAUCGUAAAGCUCUGUUAUUAGGGAAGAACAAAUGUGUAAGUAACUAUGCACGUCUUGACGGUACCUAAACAGAAAGCCACGGCUAACUACGUG
This 497-nucleotide ribosomal RNA is filed under the name uncultured bacterium. Its description in RNAcentral is "partial 16S ribosomal RNA". It matches the Rfam family "Bacterial small subunit ribosomal RNA", at positions 28 to 507 of the family's 1533-position model. The record is from RNAcentral.